UCAUUAAUACAUGUAAAAAAUAUAUGUAUAUUUUUGCCUUAUGUCUUUGUGUGUGUGUGUGUGUGUGUCCAGACCUAUUCCUUUGAUCUGUCCCAAGCUGGAAAUGACCACGAAACCCCACUUCGGAGUAUGGAACAUGGGGGAACGUUUGAACACACCAACAAAGAAUUGCCUCCUCUUGACUUUGGUCAGGAGGAUAAGCCUCACGAAACCACUCCUACAGCCAACGGAUGUGCAGCAGAGGCGGACAAAGAAGCGUCCCCUUCUGGGCACCAGAACGUCCCAGAGGAGGACAGCUACAUGUCUGAAACCAGUCUGACUCCGCCCCCUAAAAAAGUGGAGUUCAGUCUGGAUCUGGAUCUGAUAGGUGAUGACUUUGAAAUGGUGGAGCUACCGAACGCUGAACCCAGCAAUCAACAGCAGAAUGAAAACAACAACAAUGUCACAAACUCUGGUCUGUACAACAAAAAGGGUGUUUCUACAUGCAUGCACACACACACACACACACAAUCCCACAUACAGUUCCCUCCAAAAGUAUUGGAACAGUGAGGCAUCUCCUGCUUUGCUCCUUCAGGGCCUGUAUAACUUGCUGUAAUAGAUGGAACCAUAAAUUCUGCUGUUUACCAGACAAUCCUGAAGGAGAAAGUCUGGCCCUCCCUUCGUGACCUCAAGCGUACUUGGGUUUUGCAGCAGGACAAUGAUCCAAAGCACACAAACAAGUCUUAAGUCAGAUGGCUUAUUAAAGGUUUAAAGGUUUAAAAUAAAGGUUUUGGAGUGGCCUAGUGACA
Molecule: long non-coding RNA, 788 nt
Filed under: Astyanax mexicanus (Mexican tetra)
Lineage: Eukaryota; Metazoa; Chordata; Actinopteri; Characiformes; Acestrorhamphidae
Description: lncRNA (ENSAMXG00005018953.1)
Source: RNAcentral